UAUAGAUGAAGAAACUGAGGCUUAAUAAUGUUAAAUGACUAUCCUAUCAUCACACAAAAAUAAGAACAAAAAGUGGAAUUUGAACCAGCCUCCUUAGCUCCAGAUGAGGAAAUUGAGGCUCAUGAAGAUAAAUUGACUUGAGGAAGGUCACCCAGGCUAAGUGGCUAAACUAGGAUUGAAUUCAAAUCUGUGUGACUCCCAAAUCUGUGACUCCCAGUCUAACAUGCCCAGGUAAAUUCUAUAAGGAUAGAGUUGAUUCUUCAAAUCCUAGUCAGGAAAAUUCACUUGAAAGCUUUGGAUUAGAGGACAUAAGGUAGUUUUCUGAGCAGAGAGCUGAUGCCCAACUCAUGAGGAGGCGGUGUGAUCCACAGUACCAAGCCACAUGGACAUGAACAGAUCUUCCUCCAGGUGUCCACCACAAAAAAAACGCACAAAUGAGGAACAGGAAGAAGGUGUCCCCAAAGGAGAACAGGAAUGAUUCUACACAUUUGACAGAACCAGAGAGUUCAGAAUGAAAAUUUGUCUAGAUUAAUAAAAAAGAAAAAUAAACAACAAAGUAACUCA
Monodelphis domestica (gray short-tailed opossum) is the source of this 564-nucleotide long non-coding RNA. RefSeq lists it as uncharacterized. The record is from RefSeq and is a predicted model, not a curated record. NCBI's taxonomy places the organism in Eukaryota, Metazoa, Chordata, Mammalia, Didelphimorphia, Didelphidae.